GGGCGCCCACGAUGUCAAUACGGACUUUUAAUCCGUAGGUUGUGGGUUCGAGUCCCACGGGGCCCACCA
Molecule: transfer RNA, 69 nt
Filed under: Pedococcus dokdonensis
Lineage: Bacteria; Bacillati; Actinomycetota; Actinomycetes; Micrococcales; Intrasporangiaceae
Description: Phycicoccus dokdonensis tRNA_Ser_CGA
Rfam family: tRNA
About the family: Transfer RNA (tRNA) molecules are approximately 80 nucleotides in length. Their secondary structure includes four short double-helical elements and three loops (D, anti-codon, and T loops). Further hydrogen bonds mediate the characteristic L-shaped molecular structure. tRNAs have two regions of fundamental functional importance: the anti-codon, which is responsible for specific mRNA codon recognition, and the 3' end, to which the tRNAs corresponding amino acid is attached (by aminoacyl-tRNA synthetases). tRNAs cope with the degeneracy of the genetic code in two manners: having more than one tRNA (with a specific anti-codon) for a particular amino acid; and 'wobble' base-pairing, i.e. permitting non-standard base-pairing at the 3rd anti-codon position.
Source: RNAcentral